RNAcentral lists this ribosomal RNA (639 nucleotides) under uncultured Actinomycetes bacterium. RNAcentral describes it as "bacterial SSU rRNA". It matches the Rfam family "Bacterial small subunit ribosomal RNA", at positions 232 to 885 of the family's 1533-position model. The record is from RNAcentral. Lineage: Bacteria; Bacillati; Actinomycetota; Actinomycetes.
CGCGGCCUAUCAGCUUGUUGGUGGGGUAAUGGCCUACCAAGGCAUCGACGGGUAGCUGGUCUGAGAGGAUGAUCAGCCACACUGGGACUGAGACACGGCCCAGACUCCUACGGGAGGCAGCAGUGGGGAAUCUUGCACAAUGGGCGAAAGCCUGAUGCAGCAACGCCGCGUGCGGGAAGAAGGCCCUCGGGUUGUAAACCGCUUUCAGAAGGAACGAAACUGACGGUACUUUCAGAAGAAGGUGCGGCCAACUACGUGCCAGCAGCCGCGGUGACACGUAGGCACCAAGCGUUGUCCGGAUUUAUUGGGCGUAAAGAGCUCGUAGGCGGUUCAGUAAGUCGGGUGUGAAAACUUUGGGCUUAACCCAAAGCGUGCAUCCGAUACUGCUGUGACUUGAGUACGGUAGGGGAGCGGGGAAUUCCUAGUGUAGCGGUGAAAUGCGCAGAUAUUAGGAGGAACACCGGUGGCGAAGGCGCCGCUCUGGGCCGAAACUGACGCUGAGGAGCGAAAGCAUGGGUAGCAAACAGGAUUAGAUACCCUGGUAGUCCAUGCCGUAAACGUUGGGCACUAGGUGUGGGUUCCAACCAACGGAAUCCGCGCCGUCGCUAACGCAUUAAGUGCCCCGCCUGGGGAGUACGG